GAUGAACGCUAGCGGCAGGCCUAAUACAUGCAAGUCGAACGAUAGUGAGAAGCUUGCUUCUCACGAAAGUGGCGCACGGGUGCGUAACGCGUAUGCAACCUACCUUAAUCAGGGGGAUAGCCCGAAGAAAUUCGGAUUAACACCGCAUAAAAUCACAGUAUAGCAUUAUACGAUGAUCAGAUAUUUAUAGGAUUAAGAUGGGCAUGCGUGACAUUAGUUAGUUGGCGGGGUAACGGCCCACCAAGACCACGAUGUCUAGGGGAUCUGAGAGGAUGACCCCCCACACUGGUACUGAGACACGGACCAGACUCCUACGGGAGGCAGCAGUAAGGAAUAUUGGUCAAUGGAGGCAACUCUGAACCAGCCAUGCCGCGUGCAGGAAGACAGCCCUCUGGGUCGUAAACUGCUUUUAUUCGGGAAUAAACCUAUCUACGUGUAGAUAGCUGAAUGUACCGAAGGAAUAAGGAUCGGCUAACUCCGUGCCAGCCGCCGCGGUAA
This 498-nucleotide ribosomal RNA is filed under the name uncultured bacterium. RNAcentral describes it as "partial 16S ribosomal RNA". It matches the Rfam family "Bacterial small subunit ribosomal RNA", at positions 28 to 523 of the family's 1533-position model. The record is from RNAcentral.